CUCCCCACCAUUACCUUCUCGCCUCUGAAAGCUUUUUAUCAUAUCAUUAAAAAGACUGCCAGCAAUGUGUGCCUAUAUUCUGGCAUUAAACUUAUAACUACUGAGAACAUGCACAUACUUCCCCUCCAGCUAGAUGAUGAAUAAAUCCUUAAAUGACAUAAAAGGAGCCCAGUCACCAAGUUCAGUGCCAACCAUUUCCAUUUCUAAGUGCCUCUGAUGCUACCUGCCUCCUGAGAAUGCUGCUCAGCACUGCAAUGGAACUAACCUUACACAAAGAGCAGCUGCCAGAUGCCUGGACUGCAAGCCGCCUGCAAACCCAACCUGACAUGGACAGCGAAUGCCACACUGAUAAUGACACCUUGCUCCGAGGCAGAGACACAGAGACACAUGCAUUUUUACACACAAUUUCAGAGGCGCAUGGACCUCUCCUGUUUUACUUCAUUUCUGCUUUCCAGUCCAAGGACAAUUUCUUGCCUUUGAGCCCCUUUCUGCUCUGAAAGAAUAAAGUCCAGAUUGAAC
This 519-nucleotide long non-coding RNA is filed under the name Homo sapiens (human). RNAcentral's name for it is "HSALNT0335539". Lineage: Eukaryota; Metazoa; Chordata; Mammalia; Primates; Hominidae. The record is from RNAcentral.